AGUUAUCUUUUCAGCGUUCCUUUUUUUCCUUCCGAGAUGCAUAGUGAUGCUACUAUUGCGUAACAAUGUCUGUUUAGGUAUAUUCACGUUGUAUCUUCUGAACCGAGUGUGAGACAUUUCAGAAUGACUACCAAUCAGCUGUCCACGAUCAUCCUCAUCUGUAUUGUGAUCGGUGGGGGUGUUAGUACGCCGUUAUUGAGCAGCAGAAGCAGCCGGGAGGAGACCGAUGAGAUGGUACAACUGUUUGAUCCCGCCCUGAUCAAAGAGCCUGUUGGUCUAUUCGAUGAUUAUGGCGUGAGGCCCGGUGCUGAUUGGCUACAACAUGACUUCGUCCAUCUCGAUGAACCACAGCGCCAUCUAGAGGAGGAUUACUUUUAAGGAUCUGAGAAGAUACGCUGGCUUGCAGUCAAUUUCAGUAAAUAUAAAAAAGAAAUAAGAUGAAAGUCUGAACAAAGAAAUUGGUGUAUGAAACUUUCUCUUCAUGUGUGUUCAACUGUUUGUCGCCUUUGACUGUGUG
This is a long non-coding RNA of Gadus morhua (Atlantic cod), 517 nucleotides long. RefSeq lists it as uncharacterized. Lineage: Eukaryota; Metazoa; Chordata; Actinopteri; Gadiformes; Gadidae. The record is from RefSeq and is a predicted model, not a curated record. The transcript is spliced from 3 exons.